AGAGCGAACAACGUGAAUAUUAUCUUUCAUUAAAGUAUAAAUAUGAUGUUCAUUUUGUUGACAUGUAUUAAUUGCUUCAUCAUAUUUUCUAGCGUCGUCAGCAUCUAGUGUGCCAAAGAAAAAUUUUAAAAUUUCGCCUCCGAAUUCAAGGGCGCGUUUUUGACGUAGAUUCAAUCUUAAGAUUAUUAGAACUAACUAGUAUUUCUAAAGGGUUAAUAAUAUCUUUA
This 227-nucleotide unclassified non-coding RNA is filed under the name Melitaea cinxia (Glanville fritillary). Its description in RNAcentral is "misc RNA ENSMCXG00005008412.1". Lineage: Eukaryota; Metazoa; Arthropoda; Insecta; Lepidoptera; Nymphalidae. The record is from RNAcentral.